RNAcentral lists this long non-coding RNA (466 nucleotides) under Felis catus (domestic cat). Its description in RNAcentral is "lncRNA (ENSFCAG00000042334.2)". The record is from RNAcentral. Lineage: Eukaryota; Metazoa; Chordata; Mammalia; Carnivora; Felidae.
AUGUACAAGACCAAAAAUGUAAGUUUGGCUGGCAUCAACAAAAACACAGAGGAUUUACUUUCCAGGAAUUUUUCAUGUGCCUCCUCCUGGCACAGGAGCCUGUCCCAAACUGGACCCAUGGGAAAAACGAUGUUCAUUAAAAGGAAGAUGGGAGCAGACCCUGACCCAAUGGGACAAAGAAUGCUACUAUUAAUUUCAGCAAAGGAAAUACACAUUUCCCACAUGCUAAUUCAAGUAUACAGACAUCUGAACUCAACCAUGGAAGCUGGUGGCAGACUGUUCAACCUUUGGGGUGAUGAUCUAUAGGACAUUGUUUGUAGGCUGAUUUGAUAAAUGUUGCAUGCAUUGAAAGGGAGCUGCCCACUUUGGAAAAACCUAACUCGGUAAAUUCAUCUUGGUUCUGAAUACAUGUUUUGAGCUCCUUUUUGUCUUGAACUGGACACUUUAGACUGUGUCCUUGAUGGAU